UUGCAGGUGAAACAUGGUGGGGGUAGU
RNAcentral lists this non-coding RNA (27 nucleotides) under Homo sapiens (human). Lineage: Eukaryota; Metazoa; Chordata; Mammalia; Primates; Hominidae. The record is from RNAcentral.